GAUGAACGCUAGCUACAGGCUUAACACAUGCAAGUCGAGGGGAAACGAUAGAGAAAGCUUGCUUUUUCUAGGCGUCGACCGGCGCACGGGUGAGUAACGCGUAUCCAACCUGCCCACCACUUGGGGAUAACCUUGCGAAAGUAAGACUAAUACCCAAUGAUAUCUCAAGAAGACAUCUGAAUGAGAUUAAAGAUUUAUCGGUGAUGGAUGGGGAUGCGUCUGGUUAGCUUGUUGGCGGGGUAACGGCCCACCAAGGCGACGAUCAGUAGGGGUUCUGAGAGGAAGGUCCCCCACAUUGGAACUGAGACACGGUCCAAACUCCUACAGGAGGCAGCAGUGAGGAAUAUUGGUCAAUGGGCGAGAGCCUGAACCAGCCAAGUAGCGUGCAGGAUGACGGCCCUAUGGGUUGUAAACUGCUUUUAUAAGGGAAUAAAGUGAGUCUCGUGAGACUUUUUGCAUGUACCUUAUGAAUAAGGACCGGCUAAUUCCGUGCCAGCCGCCGCCGUAA
Molecule: ribosomal RNA, 508 nt
Filed under: uncultured bacterium
Lineage: Bacteria
Description: partial 16S ribosomal RNA
Rfam family: Bacterial small subunit ribosomal RNA
Source: RNAcentral